RNAcentral lists this ribosomal RNA (253 nucleotides) under uncultured bacterium. Its description in RNAcentral is "partial 16S ribosomal RNA". It matches the Rfam family "Bacterial small subunit ribosomal RNA", at positions 524 to 776 of the family's 1533-position model. The record is from RNAcentral.
UACGUAGGGCGCAAGCGUUAUCCGGAAUUAUUGGGCGUAAAGAGCGUGUAGGCGGUCCGGUAAGUCAGCUGUGAAAGUCAAGGGCUCAACCCUUGAAUGCCGGUUGAUACUGUCGGGCUAGAGUCCGGAAGAGGCGAGUGGAAUUCCCGGUGUAGCGGUGAAAUGCGCAGAUAUCGGGAGGAACACCAAUGGCGAAGGCAGCUCGCUGGGACGGUACUGACGCUGAGACGCGAAAGCGUGGGGAGCAAACAGG